GAUGAACGCUGGCGGCGUGCCUAACACAUGCAAGUCGAACGGAGAUUUAACGCUGAUGAGGCUUCGGCGGAUUCCUGUUAAAUCUUAGUGGCGGACGGGUGAGUAACGCGUGAGCAACCUGCCUCAUACUGGGGGAUAACAGCUGGAAACGACUGUUAAUACCGCAUAAGCGCACAGUAUCGCAUGAUACAGUGUGAAAAACUCCGGUGGUAUGAGAUGGGCCCGCGUCAGAUUAGCCAGUUGGCAGGGUAACGGCCUACCAAAGCAACGAUCUGUAGCCGGCCUGAGAGGGCGGACGGCCACAUUGGGACUGAGACACGGCCCAAACUCC
RNAcentral lists this ribosomal RNA (331 nucleotides) under uncultured Butyrivibrio sp. RNAcentral's name for it is "bacterial SSU rRNA". It matches the Rfam family "Bacterial small subunit ribosomal RNA", at positions 28 to 339 of the family's 1533-position model. Lineage: Bacteria; Bacillati; Bacillota; Clostridia; Lachnospirales; Lachnospiraceae. The record is from RNAcentral.